AAUGAUUAUUAUUCACUUACAAUGAAAAAAACCUUAUGGCAUUUCUAUAAUGUAAAUAAAAGGUUAAAG
This 69-nucleotide transfer RNA is filed under the name Gammarus incoercitus. Its description in RNAcentral is "tRNA-Val". The record is from RNAcentral. Lineage: Eukaryota; Metazoa; Arthropoda; Malacostraca; Amphipoda; Gammaridae.